Molecule: ribosomal RNA, 433 nt
Filed under: uncultured bacterium
Lineage: Bacteria
Description: partial 16S ribosomal RNA
Rfam family: Bacterial small subunit ribosomal RNA
Source: RNAcentral
AACGAACGCUGGCGGCAUGCCUAACACAUGCAAGUCGAACGAUCCCUUCGGGGAUAGUGGCGCACGGGUGCGUAACGCGUGGGAACCUGCCCUUAGGUUCGGAAUAACUCAGAGAAAUUUGAGCUAAUACCGGAUAAUGUCUUCGGACCAAAGAUUUAUCGCCUUUGGAUGGGCCCGCGUUGGAUUAGCUAGUUGGUGGGGUAAAGGCCUACCAAGGCGACGAUCCAUAGCUGGUCUGAGAGGAUGAUCAGCCACACUGGGACUGAGACACGGCCCAGACUCCUACGGGAGGGAGGAGUGGGGAAUAUUGGACAAUGGGCGAAAGCCUGAUCCAGCAAUGCCGCGUGAGUGAUGAAGGCCUUAGGGUUGUAAAGCUCUUUUACCCGGGAUGAUAAUGACAGUACCGGGAGAAUAAGCCCCGGCUAACUCCGUG